This 202-nucleotide long non-coding RNA is filed under the name Lathyrus oleraceus (garden pea). Its description in RNAcentral is "Pisum sativum (pea) long non-coding RNA (PSAT_LNC017105)". Lineage: Eukaryota; Viridiplantae; Streptophyta; Magnoliopsida; Fabales; Fabaceae. The record is from RNAcentral.
AAAACAUGACUGCAAAAAAAACCAUCAAAACAUGAACAUCUAGAACAACACAUCAACAUAAAAAUGGAACAAUCUUCACCAAAACUCAGUCAGAGGAGCUUGCAUCUUCAUCAGCUUCAGACCCAGAACUGCCACUUGAUUCAUCUUGAGAUUCAGACCUCUCACUAGAGGUGUGGGCUUAUGUUUCCUUGGCUUGACCAAC